UACGUAGGGGGCUAGCGUUGUCCGGAAUCAUUGGGCGUAAAGAGCGUGUAGGCGGCCCGGUAAGUCCGCUGUGAAAGUCGGGGGCUCAACCCUCGAAAGCCGGUGGAUACUGUCGGGCUAGAGUGCGGAAGAGGCGAGUGGAAUUCCUGGUGUAGCGGUGAAAUGCGCAGAUAUUGGGAAGAACACCUGAGGCGAAGGCGGGUUGCUGGGCCGACACUGACGCUGAGUGCGCGAAAGCCAGGGGAGCGAACGGG
This 254-nucleotide ribosomal RNA is filed under the name uncultured bacterium. RNAcentral's name for it is "partial 16S ribosomal RNA". It matches the Rfam family "Bacterial small subunit ribosomal RNA", at positions 524 to 776 of the family's 1533-position model. The record is from RNAcentral.